Candidatus Doudnabacteria bacterium RIFCSPHIGHO2_01_52_17 is the source of this 89-nucleotide non-coding RNA. The record is from Rfam. NCBI's taxonomy places the organism in Bacteria, Candidatus Doudnaibacteriota.
GGAGAGGUGGCCGAGUGGCUUAAGGCAGCAGUUUGCUAAACUGCGGGGCCCUAAAAGGCCCCUCAUGGGUUCGAAUCCCAUCCUCUCCG